GGGACUGAACAAGAGAAGGGACUUUCCACAGAAUUACUGAAAACAACAAUCUGGUAAUGAGGGAGUUGCUUCUUUCUGCUGGAGUGAAAUUCCUCUACAAUGUUUUUCCUUUGUGGCUGCAUUUUCUAGCAUCAGUAGGAGUACCUUCUGAAGAGAGUAAGUCCAGUUCACUAUUGAAUCUGCAUUCAAAGAUGCCAGUAAGCAGGUCACCAGCUCGAACAGACCCUUCUUGCUCUGUCCCAAGGACAAAGAAGAUGGCUGCUGCGUUCCCCUCUGUGAAGAAUUUGCUGGCCUUUGAAAGAAACGGUCAGUAGAAGAUUCACUGGAUAGUGAAAUUCUUUGUGCCUGGGAUGUGUUCAGUCUGCUUUUCUGCUGCACCAGGAAAGAAGGUCCAGUGUCUUAUUUCAUUCUGGAGCUUUUUGAAACUUUUUACUCUGUACUUUAAUUUUGGCAACCUUGGACUGAUGGGGUUUGUAGAUAUUAAUUAUCAAAUUGUUAUUUAUUAGCUGAUAUUCUUUCAAUUCAAUAAAUAUUUUAAAUCCCU
This is a long non-coding RNA of Homo sapiens (human), 544 nucleotides long. RefSeq lists it as uncharacterized. Lineage: Eukaryota; Metazoa; Chordata; Mammalia; Primates; Hominidae. The record is from RefSeq and is a predicted model, not a curated record. The transcript has 2 exons.